UAGGGAAUCUUCGGCAAUGGACGAAAGUCUGACCGAGCAACGCCGCGUGAGUGAAGAAGGUUUUCGGAUCGUAAAACUCUGUUGUUAGAGAAGAACAAGGACGUUAGUAACUGAACGUCCCCUGACGGUAUCUAACCAGAAAGCCACGGCUAACUACGUGCCAGCAGCCGCGGUAAUACGUAGGUGGCAAGCGUUGUCCGGAUUUAUUGGGCGUAAAGCGAGCGCAGGCGGUUUCUUAAGUCUGAUGUGAAAGCCCCCGGCUCAACCGGGGAGGGUCAUUGGAAACUGGGAGACUUGAGUGCAGAAGAGGAGAGUGGAAUUCCAUGGGUAGCGGUGAAAUGCGUAGAUAUAUGGAGGAACACCGGUGGCGAAGGCGGGUCUCUGGUCUGUAACUGACGCUGAGGCUCGAAAGCGUGGGGAGCAAACAGG
Molecule: ribosomal RNA, 429 nt
Filed under: Gemmatimonadota bacterium
Lineage: Bacteria; Pseudomonadati; Gemmatimonadota
Description: Gemmatimonadetes bacterium partial 16S ribosomal RNA
Rfam family: Bacterial small subunit ribosomal RNA
Source: RNAcentral